CUGAAUUUCAGCUGAAUUGAUAGAACAUGUUAUAUGUCUAUUAUGAAAUAUUGACUAGUCCAGAUAGCCAAUUUGCAUUUUAGUGUGCAUAAUCUACAUGUUUUGUGUGACAAUAACUACAAUGUUAAUUUGUUAAUCUUUUAGAUAUAAAAGGGCAAACAAUACAGCUGGAUAAAGCAUCCUAAAUCUGCACCUCGUAAAGCUAUGACAAUGAGAGAAAUGUAUCCACCCAGGCAAUCAGAAUAUAGAGUGCAACCCGGAAGGUGCGCAGCAGCUCAAAGAGAGCCAUGGUUAUUGGCAUCAAGUUCUCCAUCAGCUUUACAUCACAGGCACCACUUGUGAUUUCAUAGUUUGAACACCAAUGAACAUGGAAGUGAUUCUCAUCCUUCGAGAUGAAUUAUGGGAAUUAUACUUGGCAUACAUGAUUGAGCCUUUGUGCCCUCUCUGCAAUAACAAACUAGACAAACUUGUGAAAAUUCAAAUGUCUUCCAUUAGUUUUAUUUUGUUUUUGCUACAAUUGAUCAGUGUAAAGAUGUGCAUGAAUCAUCAUUGUAACAAUUUCUUUGACUAUUAACCUUAAAUAAAUGUUCACUUUAUCA
Ostrea edulis (European flat oyster) is the source of this 599-nucleotide long non-coding RNA. RefSeq lists it as uncharacterized. The record is from RefSeq and is a predicted model, not a curated record. The transcript is spliced from 2 exons. NCBI's taxonomy places the organism in Eukaryota, Metazoa, Mollusca, Bivalvia, Ostreida, Ostreidae.